Molecule: ribosomal RNA, 729 nt
Filed under: Bacillus sp. (in: firmicutes)
Lineage: Bacteria; Bacillati; Bacillota; Bacilli; Caryophanales; Bacillaceae
Description: bacterial SSU rRNA
Rfam family: Bacterial small subunit ribosomal RNA
Source: RNAcentral
AGCGAAUGGAUUAAGAGCUUGCUCUUAUGAAGUUAGCGGCGGACGGGUGAGUAACACGUGGGUAACCUGCCCAUAAGACUGGGAUAACUCCGGGAAACCGGGGCUAAUACCGGAUAACAUUUUGAACCGCAUGGUUCGAAAUUGAAAGGCGGCUUCGGCUGUCACUUAUGGAUGGACCCGCGUCGCAUUAGCUAGUUGGUGAGGUAACGGCUCACCAAGGCAACGAUGCGUAGCCAACCUGAGAGGGUGAUCGGCCACACUGGGACUGAGACACGGCCCAGACUCCUACGGGAGGCAGCAGUAGGGAAUCUUCCGCAAUGGACGAAAGUCUGACGGAGCAACGCCGCGUGAGUGAUGAAGGCUUUCGGGUCGUAAAACUCUGUUGUUAGGGAAGAACAAGUGCUAGUUGAAUAAGCUGGCACCUUGACGGUACCUAACCAGAAAGCCACGGCUAACUACGUGCCAGCAGCCGCGGUAAUACGUAGGUGGCAAGCGUUAUCCGGAAUUAUUGGGCGUAAAGCGCGCGCAGGUGGUUUCUUAAGUCUGAUGUGAAAGCCCACGGCUCAACCGUGGAGGGUCAUUGGAAAACGGGAGACUUGAGUGCAGAAGAGGAAAGUGGAAUUCCAUGUGUAGCGGUGAAAUGCGUAGAGAUAUGGAGGAACACCAGUGGCGAAGGCGACUUUCUGGUCUGUAACUGACACUGAGGCGCGAAAGCGUGGGGAGCAAACA